GCCACCGUGGCACCCCCCUAGUCGGACUGAAAAUCCGCGUGUCAUCAGUUCGACUCUGAUCCUCGGCACCA
Molecule: transfer RNA, 71 nt
Filed under: Dehalococcoidia bacterium
Lineage: Bacteria; Bacillati; Chloroflexota; Dehalococcoidia
Description: tRNA-Ser
Source: RNAcentral